UAUAAAUAAUGUUUGAUGAUGUUCUUCUAAAGCUCCAUAAAAACCAAACAAAAGUUCUCAAAAGAACCCUAUGCAACACUCAUGCCUCUCAUUUCAAAUCACAAAUCCUAAUCUCUGAGCUUGAUCAUACUGAUCUUUCUCGAAAGACGCUGAUCUUAAAUGUCAAAGAAACCAUUUUAAGAUCAUCAUUUGUGUUUCCUGUUAUGGACUAAUACCAUUGCAAGGUAUGAGAUUUGUCCCACAUCGGUUGUAUGGGCAACUGAUGUGUGGUUUAUAUACCAAAUGAGCUCUCACCUACCAGACUAGUCUUUUAGGUUGAGUUCUUUCGUUUGGUAUGUAACAUUGGUAUCAGAGCCAUAACUCGGAGUGGUGGCCUUGGAGUGAGCCAGCCGUAACUAACGUAGUCGUGACCAACAAGGUCAGAGUGGUGGUCUGGAAAGAGCCAGUCGUGACCAACGAGGACGUUGGACCUUAAGAAGGGUCGAUUGUUAUGGACUAAUACUUGUCCCGCAUCGGUGACCAACGAGGACGUUGAACCUUAAGAAGGGUCGAUUGUUAUGGACUAAUACUUGUCCCGCAUCGGUUGUAUGGGCAACUGAUGUGGGGUUUGUGCUCCGCAUUUUCGGUCGCAAUUCAGUCAGAAGAGUAUUUGAGACAAAUUUGCGACUCAAAAUGAGGUUUAUGGGUUACCAAUGAAGAAAAGAAGGCAUGGCAAAUUCUUCCAAGAGAAAGAUAACCAAAAGAUCUAAUUUUCCAUGAUGGAAGACUAGCCUUCAGACCCAAACCAUUAAGUAUGUUGGUUAUGUUUAUGUGGUUUCCUUUCGCAAUACUUUUGUCCAUUUUUUCGAGCAAUUGUUGCACUUACCCUUGCUAAUGGAGCAUUGAUCACAAACACUAACUCAAAUCCAGACGCGGCAUUUCAUAAUCAUAAACAACAUAAAGUUCGUUUAUAUGUAUGCAACCAUAGAACUUUACUUGCAUUAUACCUCUCAUUUAAACUCAAGAAACGAUUCGCCGCAGUCGCAUACAGUCAUAGUAGAAUGUCGGAGAACUUAUCACCUCGUCGAGCCUUACGAGGAAAGACAAGUAUAUCAUAUUGGCUGGUAGUGAAGGGUUCGUUAUUUCCACCGGCAACAAACGAUGAUCCACGAGUUCAAAUUUUAUGAUCUUUGAGCAUGUUUCCUGGAUUAUAAUUGAAACACAAGCCAAUUAUUUGGAUUGAAAUUUUGAUUCUUGUACUAUAAACUAUAAAAAAGUGUUUUUAUAUUC
Molecule: long non-coding RNA, 1269 nt
Organism: Helianthus annuus (common sunflower)
Lineage: Eukaryota; Viridiplantae; Streptophyta; Magnoliopsida; Asterales; Asteraceae
Exons: 2
Source: RefSeq, a predicted model, not a curated record